AUUGAACGCUGGCGGCAGGCUUAACACAUGCAAGUCGAGCGAGCGGCGGACGGGUGAUUAAUGUCUGUGAAACUGCCUGAUGGAGGGGGAUAACUACUGGAAACGGUAGCUACUACCGCAUACCAUCAGAUGUUCCCAGAUGGGAUUAGCUAGUAGGUGGGGUAAUGGCUCACCUAGGCGACGAUGCCUAGCUGGUCUGAGAGGAUGACCAGCCACACUGGAACUGAGACACGGUCCAGACUCCUACGAGAGGCAGCAGUGGGGAAUAUUGGACAAUGGGCGAAGGCCUGAUGCAGCCAUGCCGCGUGGUUGAAGAAGGCCUUCGGGUUGUAAAGCACUAUCAGCGAGGAGGCGGUACUCGCAGAAGAAGCGCCGGCUAACUCCGUGCCAGCAGCCGCGGUAAUUC
Molecule: ribosomal RNA, 406 nt
Filed under: uncultured bacterium
Lineage: Bacteria
Description: partial 16S ribosomal RNA
Rfam family: Bacterial small subunit ribosomal RNA
Source: RNAcentral